CCCUUAGAUGUUCUGGGCCGCACGCGCGCUACACUGAUGAAUUCAACGAGCACUAACCUGUGCCGAAAGGUUCGGGUAAUCUUGUGAAAUUUCAUCGUGAUGGGGAUUGAUUAUUGCAAUUUUUAAUCAUAAACGAGGAAUGCCUAGUAAGCGUGAGUCAUCAGCUCACGUUGAUUACGUCCCUGCUCUUUGUACACACCGCCCGUCGCUCCUACCGAUUGAAUGUGCCAGUGAAAAGUUCGGAUUGGAGAUAGGAAACGGCAACGUAUCCUAUUUCCGAGAAAAUCUUUAAACUUUCCCAUUUAGAGGAAGGAGAAGUCGUAACA
Molecule: ribosomal RNA, 326 nt
Filed under: uncultured eukaryote
Lineage: Eukaryota
Description: partial 18S ribosomal RNA
Rfam family: Eukaryotic small subunit ribosomal RNA
Source: RNAcentral